CAGGAUUUCACCAUGUUGACCAGGCUGGUCUCGAACUUCUGAGCUCAAGCAAUCCUCCUGCCUCAGCCUCCCAAAGGGCUAGGAUUACAGGCGUGAGCCACCACGCCUGGCCUGGGAAAGUACUCCCAUGAACAGUGCUCCUUAUCUCAUUAUGUGCUGGCUUAGAAAUUCCAGGGGCUAAUUUUGAAACAAACCAGGCUUGCAGAUCCAGCUAUGAAAUCAGCUUGCUUAGUGGGCUUACAAACAAGGAGACCACCACCAAUAGGCAGAAGUCAAGAUGAUGCCAACUGGACCUCCAGGUGCUUGACUACUCAAGAAAGCCUUUGGAGCAAGACCUGCAGACCUGCACCUUCCUGCACCCCUCCCACCUGUUUCCUGUACCAUGUCUCCCUUCUGAAACCAUCUCACUCAGCCCAGAAAGUUGGACUGGUCUUUUAAAAGCAUGAGUCUGGCCAUUCCCCAAUUGCUAGCUUCCAAUUAAUAAAACUGUUUUCCUUUCGCUGCGCCUUGUUUCUCAUGUUUUCAACCUCUGAAUAGGGAGCAGCUGAACUUGAGCUGGUGACACCAUCGCUGACUUGCUCUGGGCCAUUGGGCAGGUCCUGUUCUCUCCCUGUGCUUCAGCUUCCCCAUCCGUAAUCCAAGGAUGAUAAUUAUAACAGCCUUACAGGCAAGACACAGGUGAUACUCACUAAGGGGUAAUUAAGAUGGUAAUGACUAUGAGGAUGGCAAAGAUGAUGACUGACAACAGUCAGGAUGAU
RNAcentral lists this long non-coding RNA (758 nucleotides) under Homo sapiens (human). RNAcentral's name for it is "HSALNT0004098". Lineage: Eukaryota; Metazoa; Chordata; Mammalia; Primates; Hominidae. The record is from RNAcentral.